This is a long non-coding RNA of Stegostoma tigrinum, 4483 nucleotides long. RefSeq lists it as uncharacterized. NCBI's taxonomy places the organism in Eukaryota, Metazoa, Chordata, Chondrichthyes, Orectolobiformes, Stegostomatidae. The record is from RefSeq and is a predicted model, not a curated record. The transcript has 4 exons.
CCUACCCUCCAGCCAAUCAGAGCGAGUGAGAUGUUUGUCUGUGUGAAAAUCAUGUGAUCGCCUCUGUCCGCGGGCGCAAUAUCUCUGCGAAUGAGGGUUAGCUGCUUUCGGAAGCAAACGGAAAAACUGCUACGGACCUGAGGCUGCGAUAGGCAGAGGAUAUUUAUUGAGAAUAAUUUGCAAACCAGGAUCCCAAUGCAAGUUCUCCAUUAAGCGGAGUGAUCAGGAUCUGAGUAUCAUUGACACUUAACAGUGAAAGGAAAGAGGUUUAACCAUUCUAUGCAUGGGAGAAUACUCCUGGACUCUUUUAUACCCCCCACAGGACCUUUCGUGAUCUAAUCCCGUAACAGUGUGAGCUGCUACAAUGCAUGUGCUAGUAAAAGCAUAAGAGGACAGAUGAGAUGAGUGCAUGGCUGGAGCUAUAACUUAAAAGGUUUGGAUUCCUGAGGCAUUGAGACUGUUUGUUUGUUUCUGGGGAAGGUGGGACAUGCACAAGCUUGAACAAUUGUCCUGGGCAGAGCUGGGACAGAUAUUCUUGUUGAUGCUUUUGCUAGUUCCACUGGUGAGGAUUUAAACUCGUAUGACAGGGGAAUGGGAACCAAAGUAUAGCUUUAGCAGUAAAAGACUCAAAUCAGCAAAUGGGAUUUGAAAUUAGUUCAUGAUGUUGUCGGUGGCUGAAAGAUUAAAAGAAAGAAGGAUUAAUCAAGAUCAAAUCUCUUUUCAUACAUCAGUCCUGUGAUCCCAGGAAUUGGUCUGGUGAACCUUCUUUACGAUCAUUCAGUAGCCAGGCCAUCCUUCCUCUGGAAAGGAGAACAAAGGUGCACAUGACUCCAGGUGUGGUCUCACCAAGGCCCUUAUAGAAAGAUAUCCCUCUUCCUGUACUCGAAUCCUCUCACAAUGAAGGCCGAAAUAUCAUUUGCAUUCUUCACUACUUGCUGCUGCCUGUUUCCUAAAAGAGAAUAGGAGAGAAACACGGAACUAAAUGGGGUCAGACACUCGGGUAACAUUGUGUUCAACAAUGUCCCCAUUGUAUCGGUGCUGGCCAUCAAGCACCUAUUGAAGCUAGGCCCGUUUUCUGGCACUCGGUGUGUAACCUGUAUUUUGGUGCAGUGGAUGAUCAUCUCAACACUUCUUCAAGAUUGCAAUGGUUCCUGCAUCUAUCACCAUUUCAGAUGCUGCCAGAUCUGCUGAGUAUCUCUAUCAUUUUCUGUUUUUAUUUCAGAUUUCAGGUAUUUUUCUGCAUCUUAGUCCUUCAGAAGGAUCAGAGGGUAUGGAGAGAAAACAGGAAUUGGAUUCAUUUUCAGAUGAAUAAAAUGCCUGCCCUUCAUGUCUGUCCAAACUCUAUCUCUUUUUGUAGUUUUGGACAAACGCUGACUGUUUCCCUUCCCUGAAGGACAUUUAAUGAACCAGUUCAGUUUUACUGAUAAUCCAGCAGUGCCCCUCAGUGUUGCAUCCACAAUUGAUCAGAUUAAUUUCUGAGUUUGACAAUCUUUGUGUGUGUUCUUCUGGUUUCUCUCUCUCUCUCUACUUUUUUUUUCUUCAGUUUGAAAUUGUGAUUGCAUUCAGAGAAAUCAAACAAAACCACAUCCAGAUCUGACACUCAAUCUGUUUGUCGUAACCUAAUUAUCUCAGGAUUUUGAACAUUAAAGGAAGAAGCACUGUUCACACCAGGGAGAAAUGCGUAUUGUCUGUGUGUCGAAGAUUCUGUGAAGAUUCAUCUGAAAUGCCCAAACACCAGCACGGUCACACUGGGGAGAGACUGUGGUAAUGUGGGGAUUGUGGGAAGGGAUUUAUUUACCCAUCCCAGCUGGAAAUGCACCAAUGCAGUCACACUGGGGAGAAACUGUUCAUUUGCUCUGAUUGUGGGCUGGGAUUCACUCAGUCAAGCAACCUGCUGAAACACCAACGAGUUCACAGUGGGGACAGACUGUUCACAUGUUCCGAGUAUGGGAAGGGAUUUGCUCACUCAACCAACCUGCUGAGACACCAGCGAGUUCACUCUGGGGACAGACCAUUCACUUGUUCUAUGUGUGGAAAGGGAUUCACUCAAUCAUCCCAACUGUUAACACACCAGCAAGUUCACCACAACCACAUUUGAAGGAUUUUGCCCUUAAAUCAAGGAAUGAACUUUGAUCUUUGGGCUGUUUGUACUGGUGUCAUUAGUCCCUGCUCAAAACUUGAUCUUCUCUUGGGAAAUAAGGUAGGGCAGGUGACUGAGGGGUCAGCAGGGGGGACAAUAUUUUGGGGCCUAUGAUUAUAUCUCUAUUAGUUUUAAAAUAAUUAUGGAAAAGGAUAGACUUUGGUCGAAGAGUCAAAGUUUUAAAUGAGGCCAAUUUUGACACUACUAUGCUUCUUAAAAGCACAGUAAGACCGCCUAUGUGUGGGAAUGCACGAGAUGGGUGAGAUACAAAAAAGUAUUUUACAUCAGUAUUUACUGUGAUAAAGGAUACAAAAGCUAAAGAACUUAGAGAAAUGAAUGUGUAUCUUGAAAAGUUCCAUGUUGUAGAGGAGGUGGUGCUGGAUGCCAUACAGAGCAUAAAGGUGGAUAAAUCCCCAGGACCUCUUCAGGUGUAUUCUCGAACUUUGCGGGAAGCUAGGCUUGCGAUUGGGCCCCUUGCUCAGAUAUUUGCACCAUUGACAGUCAUAGGUGAGCUGUUACACUGGAGGUUGGCUAAUCUGGUGCCAUUGUUUAAGAAAGGUGGUAACAUAAAACCAGGGAACAAUAAACUUUUAGUGAGCCUGAUGUCAGUUGUGGGUAAGUUGUUGGAGGGAAUUCUGAGGGAUAGGAUUUACAUAUAUUUGGAAAGCGUGGACUGAAUGGGGAAUAGUUGACAUGGCUUUGUCCAUAGGAAAUUAUGCCUUACUAACUUGAUUGAGUUUUUUUGAAGAAGUUAGAAACAAGAUUGAUGGCAGAGCGGUGGAUGUUUUCGAUAUUCCUCAUGGUCGACUGAUUAACAAGGUUAGAUCACAUGGAAUCCAGGGAGAGCUGGCCAUUUGGAAAGGCCUUUGACCUGCAGUAUGCUGCAAGGAUUGGUACUUAGUAACUAUAACUCCUACAUUCACAUCCAAAUCAUCUUUAUAAAUGACACACCACUGGUCACAGGCCUCCAGUCGACAAAGCAACCCUCCACCAGCACUCCGUCUUCUACCUUCAAGUCAGAUCUGUUUCCAAAUGACUGGUUCUCUCUGUAUUCCAUCUGAUCUGACCUUGCUAAUCAGUCUACUAUGAGGAACCUUGUCAAACGCCUUAGUGACAUCCAUAUAGAACACAUCCACCUCUUUGCGCUACUCAAUCCUCUUUGUUCCUCCAUCAAAAAAAAUCAAGUCAGUGAGACAUGAUUUCCCACACACACAGCCAUGUUGAUUAUCCCUAAUCAGUCCUUCCCUUUCCAAAUAUUUCAAGUACUAUCCCUCAGGAUUCCUAGAACGACUUUCCCACCACUAAUAUCAGGCUCACUGGCCUAUAGUUCCCUGGAUUUUACUUAGCACCUUUCUUAAAUAGUGGCACCACAUUAGCCAACUUCUGGUCCCUCACCUGUGACUAUCGAUGAUACAAAUAUCUCAGCAAGGGGCCCAGCAAUCACUUGCCUAGCUUCCCUCCGAGUUCUCGGAUACACCUGAUCAGGUCCCAGGAAUUUAUCCACUUUUAUACGUUUUAAGCAUCACUACCUCUGUAAUAUGGAUAAUUUUCAAGAUGUUGCUAUUUAUUUCCCCACAGUCCAUAUCUUCCAUAUCCUUUUCUGUAGUAAAUACUGAUGCAUAAUACUUGUUUUAUUAUAUUCCCCAUUUCUUGCAAUUCCACACAUAGGAGGCAUUGCUGCUUUUUAAGGGGCCCUAUCUCUCCAUCGUUAUCCUUUUUGUUCUUAAUCUAUUUUUAGAAUCCCACUGGAUUUUCCUUAAUACUAUUUGCCUAAGUUACCUCAUGUUCCCUUUUUGCCCUACUAAUUUCCCUCUUAAGUAUACUAUUGUCAUUAUACUCUUGUAAGCAUUCACUCGAUCUCUGCUGUCUAUACCUGACAUGUCCUUCCUCGUUUUUCUUGACCAAAACCUUGAUUUCUCUAGUCAUCCAGAAUUCCCUAUACCUACCAGCAUUGUCCUUCACCCGAACAGGAGUAUACUGUCCCUGAACUCUCGUUAUCUCUUUUUUUUGAAGGCUUCCCACUUUCUAACUUUCUGUUUUACCUGCGAACAUCUGCCCCAAUCAACUUUUGAAAGCUCUUGUGUAAUACCAUUAAAAUUGGCCUUCCUCCAAUAUAGAGCUUUAACUUUCAGAUCCGGUCUACUCUUUUCCAUCACUAUUUUAAAACUAAUAGAAUUAUGGUCACUGGCCCCAAAGUCCUCCCCUGCUGAUACCCUAGUCACCUGUCCUGCUUUAUUUGCCAACAGCAGGUCAAGUUUUGCACCUUCUGUAGUCGGUACAUCACAUACUGAAUCAAAACAUUUUCCUCUACACUCUCAGCAAACUCCGCUCCAUCCAAGCCUU